Molecule: ribosomal RNA, 253 nt
Filed under: uncultured bacterium
Lineage: Bacteria
Description: partial 16S ribosomal RNA
Rfam family: Bacterial small subunit ribosomal RNA
Source: RNAcentral
UACGGGGGGGGCAAGCGUUGUUCGGAAUUACUGGGCGUAAAGGGCUCGUAGGUGGCCAACUAAGUCGGACGUGAAAUCCCUCGGCUUAACCGGGGAACUGCGUCCGAUACUGGUUGGCUUGAGUUUGGGAGAGGGAUGCGGAAUUCCAGGUGUAGCGGUGAAAUGCGUAGAUAUCUGGAGGAACACCGGUGGCGAAGGCGACAUCCUGGACCGGUAUUGACGCUGAGGCGCGAAAGCCAGGGGAGCAAACGGG